UCCUGAUCCGUUAAUUUAAGCGGGAGCUGAGAAUAUAGCUCACCGCAGCUCAGAGUUUCUUAACCAAUGUUUGCUUUUCUAGAACCUUGGAAUCUAUACACCAAAGAGUCUUCCUUCUCGAGUUGAAACUCAGAUAUAUCAGGGUCCUUCCAACCACAGUUCAAGAAGAAGCCUGUUGGAGAGAUGCCUUACUCUGGACUCCCACAACACCCUGAACUGAUGAUCUUCUGUGUGAGACUUAUCCCAGCUCCAUAAUCGGCUAUUAGGUUGGCCAUCUUUCCUAUGAUCCCGGAGUUCUGGAAACAAUCUUCCAUGGAUACCAAUGGAUGACUGUACAGUGAAAAAUCCAUGUACCCACACACAGCUUAAGAAACAGAAUAUUUUCAAGACCUUCAAAGCCAUCUGUGCAUCUCCCACCCCUUCCAAAAUUAAAUUUACUUUUGUAUCAAUCAA
Molecule: non-coding RNA, 453 nt
Organism: Ictidomys tridecemlineatus (thirteen-lined ground squirrel)
Lineage: Eukaryota; Metazoa; Chordata; Mammalia; Rodentia; Sciuridae
Source: RefSeq, a predicted model, not a curated record